CAGGGUGAGAACUUCAGUACAUAACAGUCCCCAUCUUCAAAAAAGGGGGAAAGAAGACCCAGGUAACAACCAACAAGUGAGCACCGACAUCAAUACCAGGAAAGGUCCUAGAACAGAUAAUUCAACAGUCAGCCUAUGAGAUUUUAGAAAAGGAUGCUGUGAUUACUAAGACCCAGCAUGGGUUUCUCAAAAACUAAGUCAUGCCAGACAAAUCAUAUUUCUUCUUUUGAUAGAGUUACAAGCUUGGUGGAUUGGGGGAAUGCUGUGGACAUAGUGUAUCUUGGUUUCAGUAAGGCUUUUGACAAAGCCCACCCAUGAUAUUCUUAUGAGGAAGAUGGUAAAAUGUGGGUUGAAUUAGGUUAACAGGUGGAUUUGUAGCUGGUUGUAGCUGGUUGACUGACUGAAUGCUGGGUCUGGUGAGACACUUGCAUCUUUGCAUGUCUUGGCCUGUUCAAACUGCUCUGGGAAAGUUGGAACCUGCCUGAACCUUUUCCAACUGGUUUGGACUGGUUUGAACCUCUUGGACUGGAUCCAACUAGUAUGAACUGAUUCUAACCACUCUGGGCUGGUUCCAAGUGACAUAGACCUGUCUCAACUGGCCUGGACCUGUUCUAACCAGCUAGGGACAGUUUAAAAUGACCUGCACCUGCUCCAACUGGCCUGGACCUGCUGGAAGCUGUCUGGAACUGUUCAAACUGGCUUGGGCCGGAUCAAACCAGCCCAGACCUGUUUAAACCAGCUUGGACCGGCAGAAAGAGGCCUGUUGUUGUUGUUUAGUCAUUUAGUCGUGUCCGACUCUUAGUGACCCAGUGGACCAGAGCACGCCAGGCACUUCUGUUUUCCACUGCCUCCCGCAUUUUGGUCAAACUCAUGCUGGUAGUUUCGAGAACACUGUCCAACCAUCUCGUCCUCUGUCGUCCCCUUCUCCUUUUGCCCUCCAUCUUUCCCAACAUCAGGGUCUUUUCCAGGGAGUCUUCUCUUCUCAUGAGGUGGCCAAAGUAUUGGAGUCUCAGCGCAUGUUUGCAAUUUGGUCUCUGGUUCCUCUGCCUCUUCUAAAUCCAGCUUGCACUUCUGGGAGUUCUCGGUCCACAUACUGCUUGAGCCUACCAUGUAGAAUUUUAAGCAUAACCUUGUUAGCUUGUGAAAUGAGUGCAAUUGUGCGGUAGUUGGAACAUUCUUUGGCACUGCCCUUCUUUGGGAUUGGAAUGCAUAAUGUUGUUCUUCACAAUGCAUAAUGUUGUUCUUCUUCUGGUUGUUGUUUAGUCAUUUAGUCGUGUCUGACUGUUCAUGACCCCAUGGACCAGAGCACACCAGGCACUCCUGUCUUCCACUGUCUCCCGCAGUUUGGUCAAACUCAUGUUGAUCAACAUGAGAACACUGUCCAACCACCUCAUCCCCUUCUCCUUGUGCCCUCCAUCUUUCCCAGCAUCAGGGUCUUUUCCAGGGAGUCUUCUCUUCUCAUGAGGUGGCCAAAGUAUUGGAGCCUUAGCUUCAGGAUCUGUCCUUCCAGUGAGCACUCAGGCCUGAUUUCCUUCAGAAUGGAUAGGUUUGAUCUUCUUGCAAUCCACGGGACUCUCAAAAGUCUCCUCCAGCACCAUAAUUCAAAAGCAUCAAUUCUUCUGCAAUCAGCCUUCUUUAUGGUCCAGCUCUCACUUCCAUACAUCACUACUGGGAAAACCAUAGCUUUUACUAUACGGACCUUUGUUGGCAAGGUGAUAUCUCUGCUUUUUAAGAUGCUGUCUAGGUUUGUCAUUGCUUUUCUUCCAAGAAGCAGGCGUCUUUUAAUUUCGUGACUGAUGUCACCAUCUGCAGUGAUCAUGGAACCCAAGAAAGUAAAAUCUCUCACUACCUCCAUUUCUUCCCCUUCUAUUUGCCAGGAGGUGAUUCAUAGUGGCCAUGAGCUUAGUUUUUUUGAUGUUGAGCUUCAGACCAUAUUUUGAGCUCUCCUCUUUCACCCUCAUUAAAAGGUUCUUUAAUUCCUCCUCGCUUUCUGCCAUCAAGGUUGUGUCAUCUGCAUAUCUGAGGUUGUUGAUAUUUCUUCCGGCAAUCUUAAUUCUGGUUUGGGAUUCAUCCAGCCCAUCCUUUCGCAUGAUGAAUUCUGCAUAUAAGUUAAAUAAGCAGGGAAACAAUAUACAGCCUUGUCGUUCUCCUUUCCCAAUUUUGAACCAAUCAGUUGUUCUAUAUCCAGUUCUAACUGUAGCUUCUUGUCCCACAUAGAGAUUUCUCAGAAGACAGAUAAGGUGAUCAGGCACUCCAAUUUCUUUAAGAACUUGCCAUAGUUUGCUGUGGUUGACACAGUCAAAGGCUUUUGCAUAGUCAAUGAAGCAGGAGUAGAUGUCUUUCUGGAACUCUCUAGCUUUCUCCAUAAUCCAGCUCAUGGUCUCUGGUUCCUCUGCCACUUUGAAAUCCAGCUUGCACUUCUGGGAGUUCUCGGUCCACAUACUGCUUAAGCCUGCCUUGUAGAAUUUUAAGCAUAACCUUGAUAGCAUGUGAAAUGAGUGCAAUUGUGCGGUAGUUGGAGCAUUCUUUGGCACUGCCCUUCUUUGGGAUUGGAAUGUAAACUGAUCUUCUCCAAUCCUCUGGCCACUGCUGAGUUUUCAAAACUUGCUGGCAUAUUGAGUGUAGCACCUUAACAGCAUCAUCUUUUAAAAUUUUAAAUAGUUCAGCUGGAAUACCAUCACUUCCACUGGCCUUGUUAUUAGCAGUGCUUUCUAAGGUCCAUUUGACUUCACUCUCCAGGAUGUCUGGCUCAAGGUCAGCAAUCACACUACCUGGGGUGUACGAGCCAUCCAUAUCUUUCUGGUAUAAUUCCUCUGCGUAUUCUUGCCAACUCUUCUUGAUGUCUUCUGCUUCUGUUAGGUCCUUACCACUUUCGUCCUUUAUUAUGGUAAUCUUUGUACAAAAUGUUCCUUUCAUAUCUCCAAUUUUCUUGAACAGAUCUCUGGUUCUUCCCUUUCUGUUGUUUUCCUUUAUUUCUUUGCAUUGCUUGUUUAAGAAGGCCUUCUUGUCUCUCCUUGCUAUUUUUUUGGAAAUCUGCAUUCAAUUUCCUGUAUCUUUCACUAUCUCCCUUGCAUUUUGCUUGCCUUCUCUCCCUCGCUAUUUGUAAGGCCUCGUUGGACAGCCACUUUGCUUUCUUGCAUUUCCAUUUCAUUGGGAUGGUUUUCGUUGCUGCCUCCUGUAUAAUGUUGCAAGCCUCUAUCCAUAGUUCUUCAGGCACUCUGUCCACCAAAUCUAAAUCCUUAAACCUGUUCCUCACUUCCACUGUGUAUUCAUAAGGGAUUUGAUUUACCGUAUUUUUCGCCCUAUAGGACACACUUUUUCCCCUCCAAAAAUGAAGGGGAAAUGUGUGUGCGUCCAAUAGGGCGAAUGCAGGCUUUCGCUGAAGCCUGGAGAGUGAGAGGGGUCAGUGCGCACGGACGCCUCCCGCUCUCCAGGCUUCAGGAAGCUAUCCGCAAGCCUUUGGAGCCCGGCGGGAGUUCCCACCGGGCUCCCAAGGCUUGCAGACAGCAGCCUGCAGCCCGCACCCCGGGCUUCGGGCAGCUCUCCGCAAGCCUUGGGAGCCCAGCGCGACUUCCCGCGCUACAGCGCCGCGCUCCCUGGGCUUUGGAUAGCAGCAAGCUCCGGGAGCGAUGGCAAGGACCCGUUCUGGGGGCUGGGGUCAGGGGAAGCUCGGGCUUCCCCUGUCCCCAGCCUCGCAAGCUCCGGGAGCGAUGGCGAGGUUGCACAACCUCGCCUUCGCUCCCAGACCCAUUCUGGAGGCUGGGGUUGGGGGAAGCUCGGGCUUCCCCAGCCCCGCAAGCUCCGGGAGCGAUGGCGAGGUUGCGCAAAACGAAGGCUAAAAACAAAGCCAGGACCGCUAGCGGGAUCCAUCUUUGGCUUCUUUGCUCUUUGGGGCUUGGGGGGGGAUAUAAUCCCCCCCCUUUAUUUCCCCUCCCAAAAAAUAAGUGUGCCCUAUGGGCCGGUGCGCCCUAUAGGGCAAAAAAUACGGUAGAUUGUAUCUUACCGGCCCAGUGGUUUUUCCUACUUUCUUCAGUUUAAGCUUGAAUUUUGCUAUAAGAAGCUGAUGAUCUGUGCCACAGUCAGCUCCAGGUCUUGUUUUUGCUGACUGUAUAGAGCUUCUCCAUCUUUGGCUGCAGAGAAUGUAAUCAAUCUGAUUUUGAUGCUGCCCAUCUGGUGAUGUCUAUGUGUAGAGUCGUCUCUCGUGUUGUGGGAAAAAUGUGUUUGUGAUGACCAGCUUGUUCUCUUGACAGAACUCUAUUAGCCUUUGCCCUGCUUUGUUUUGAACUCCAAGGCCAAACUUGCCAGUUGUUCCUUUUAUCUCUUGACUCCCUACUUUAGCAUUCCAAUCCCCUAUAAUGAGAAGAAAAUCCUUCUUUGGUUUCACUUCUAUAAGGUGUUGUAAGUCUUCAUAGAACUGGUCAAUUUCUGUUUCUUCAGCACCAGUAGUUGGUGCAUAAACUUGGAUUACUGUGAUGUUAAAAGGUCUGCCUUGGAUUCAUAUCGAGAUCAUUCUAUCAUUUUUGAGAUUGCAUCCCAGUACAGCUCUUGCCACUCUUUUGUUGACUAUGAGGGCCACUCCAUUUCUUUUACGGGAUUCUUGCCCGAGUAGUAGAUAUGAUGGUCAUCCGAACUGAAUUCGCCCAUUCUCAUCCAUUUUAGUUCACUGAUGCCCAGGAUGUCAAUAUAUAUUCUUGCCAUCUCAUUUUUGACCACAUCCAACUUACCCAGGUUCAUGGUUCUUACAUUCCAGGUUCCUAUGCAAUAUUUUUCUUUACAGCAUUGGACUUUCCAUUCGCUUCCAGGUAUAUCCGCAACUGAGCAUCCUUUCGGCUUUGGCCCAGUCGCUUCAUCAGCUCUGAAUCUACUUGUACUUGUCCUCCGCUCUUCCCCUAUAGCAUGUUGGACGCCUUCCGACCUGAGGGGCUCAUCUUCCAGCAUCAUAACUUUUAUAUGCCUGUUCUCUUUGUCAAUGGAGUUUUCGUGGCAGGGAUACUGGAGUGGCUUGCCGGUUCCUCCUCCAGGUGGAUCACGUUUGGUCAAAACUCUCCACUAUGACCUGUCCAUCUUGGGUACAUAGUUCAUAGCUUCUCUGAGUUAUUCAAGCCCCUUCGCCACGGCAAGGCAGUGAUCCAUGAAGGGGGAAAGAGGCCUAGACCGCUUCAAACCAGCCUAGACCUGUGCAAACCCGCUUGAACCGGCAGAAACUGGCCUAGACCAGUUCAAACCAGUCUAGACAUUUCAAACCGGCUUGAACUGUCACAAACCAGCCACGACUGGUUCAAACUGGCUUGGACCAACACAAACCAGCCUAGACCAGUUCAAACUGGCCUAGACCAGUUGAAACCAGCUUGGACUGGCCCAAAUUGGCUUGGACCAGUUCAAACUGGUCUGGGCAAGUUUGAACCAGCCUGAACCUUUUCCAACUGGUUUGGGCUGGUUCCAACUGGCUUGGGCUGCUCAAAGCUGUCUGGAACUGUUCCAACUGACUUGGGUCGGCUCAAACCAGCUUGGGUCAGCACAAACAGGCCCAGACCGGUGAAAACCAGCCUAGACCGGUUCAAAUUGGCUUGAACCGGCAUAAACCGGCCUAGACCGGUUCAAACUGGCUUGAACUGGCAUAAACUGGCCUUGACCAGUUCAAACCGGCAUCGACUGGUUCAAACCGGCCUAGACCUGUUCAAACCAAUCUGAGCUAGUUCCAACCAGUAUGGACCAGUUCCAACCGCUCUGGGCUGGUUCCAAGUGACAUAGACCUGUUCCAACCGGCCUGGAUCUGCUCAAAGCUGUCUGGUACUGUUCCAACUGGCUUGGGUCGGCUCAAACCAGCCUAGACCUGUUCAAACCGACUUGGACCGGCACAAACCGGCCUAGACUGGUUCAAACCGGCAUCGGCUGGUUCAAACGGACCUAGACCUGUUCAAACCGGCUUGAACCGGCAUCAACUGGCCUAGAAAGGUUCAAACUGGUUUGGAGCAGCAGAAACCAGCCUCGACCAGUUCAAACCAGCCUAGACCUGUUCAAACUGGCUUGGACCAACUUCCAGUAAUGGCAGACGGGAGCUAUUUCGGCUGAAAAAAUCCUCAGACCAAGCGUUCUGAGGAUCUGGUGUUUCGGUGGGUGCCUUCUGGCAACUCCCCCAGUCCCCAGUAAGCUCUUAAAGAGCCCCAAGAGCGAGUGGGGUUGGAGACACGUCAUAGCAGAAACAACUCACUUCCUUCACAGUGCAAAGCUCCGAGUCUGGUGAUCGUGAGCGGUCAAUUCCUCCAAAAAAAAGGACACACAAAAAACCGGAACUGUGAGUAAAAGACAAAGUUUAAAUCAGGCUAUUUUGGGGACACAAAGGGAUUUAAAAACGGAGGUUGAUCCCUUUCGCUGAAUUAAAGGAGAAUCGGUUAUCGUGGACCAAAGCCUUAAUUGGGAAUAAGACUGGUAGAAAGUUUGCAAGCCAACCUCAAAACCCCUCUUCUGCAGGGGGAAGGGGGGGUGAAUUUUUUUGACUUUAAGAACCCUGCGAAACUGAGCACUGACAGUAUUUUGGGGGGAGCUCCAUUUGAGGAGUAAAAGGGGGUAAAUGGAAAUUUGGGAAAGGAGAUAUUGCUGACUUUUAUAUUGAGGCUCGUGGAGGGAAUCUGUCUGCCUCCUUAUCUCCCCCUUGUGACUGAGACUGACCUUGGAUGGGGCCGCUAGGGGCGCCUUGGAAGAUGGCAGAUAUUAACAUCUAUCCAGCUUGCACGAGGUAAUUAGAGGCUGAUUAUGGGGAGUAUAUCAGUCUCCCUUCAUCUCUCCAGGGGGGAGAGAUGCUGUUUUCACCCGCUGUUGCCAUAAAUCACCCCCAUGUUCAGAAGCAGGAGGGGGUGAGGCACUGAGUGCACAACCCUCGGCGGGCCACGGAACUCCUCCGAAACUGCUUCCAGGUGCGAAACUAGUUGCGUUACUUAAAAGGGAAAAAAUUGGGAAAGAUAACGCACAUGCUUCAAGAGAGGCAGGAGGUUUUUAUCUGCUAAUAAUUUUACCACUGAAAGGAAGAAGACUGAGACGGACCGAAAUGGAAUAUUACAUCAAAGCACUACAAAUAUGGUAUGUGGAUUGGAAUGCCGGAACUAAGGGGGGGGGACGACUUUUUAUUUCUUUUGCUCUAUGUGAUUACUAAUAACCCUCCCUCUGAAGAUCCGUCACAGAAAUUAAUUGCAAAUGGGACUAAAAAUGAAUUGUGUGGGAAUAAUUAUGAACUUAAAGGUUUUACUCUGUGAAGGAUUUGGAAAGAAGAAGGGCUCUCUCUUGUGACGCAGUAAGAAUGGAGACUUGAUAAGAGACCUGUGUUGCUGGAGUUGGUCUUGGGGAGGGCGAGCUGAAGAUAUAUUAUUUUCGAGGAGAUUGCGAACUGGAAGGGGCAGCCCUCCUGGAAAAAGACUAAUUUACGAUGCAACAGGUCGGAAAAGCUAAAGAGCGAGUUUCUAGACUGUAUUUCAUCGGAAUGACAAAAAUGGCGAUUACUUGCUCGAGCGGAAAGGACUGUUGGAGGAGAGUGAUUUACGAGAGAGCAGCACAAAGCCCACACAGAAAUACAAAUAAGACUGUCUUUUUCAACCCACUUGCGGAGCAUAUCGGAGGAAAAUGGAAAGGAAAAUGAGUAAUGACAAGUAUUGAGAAGAGGAGACUGGAAACAUCAUUCUUAAUAUGGAAGCAGAACAAAUAUUUGAGGAUUGGACUCCUGCCAAUCAAGAAGCAUUGGUAUCCCCCACAAAAAUUUAUAAUUUGGAAAACAAUUGGAUUAUAUGAUAUGUAUUGUUAUAAUUUGGACUAAUUGAUUUGAUGUGUUUAAUUUGGAAAUAUGAAACUUAAUAAAAAUUAUUUUUUAAAAAAGAGAGAGACUGACCUUGGAUAAAAAAUAAAAAGCCAUGGAUGGGGGAGAGAAAGGAGAAAAGGCAGAGAAAACAAAGCAAAGGAGGGGCUCUAAGGCUCCAACUUUUGAAGAGUCUGUGAUGCAACUGCUACAGGAAAUUAAAACAGAAGUAAGAGGCAAUCAACAGACCAUACAGGAAUUAAAAAAAGACUUUGCAGAUUUAAGACAAGAGUUGAAAGGAGUUAAGACAGAUAUGCCUGUUGUCUUUGUCCAUGGAGUUUUCUUGGCAGGGAUACUGGAGUGGCUUGCCGGUUCCUCCUCUAGGUGGAUCACGUUUGGUUAAAACUCUCCACUAUGACCUGUCCAUCUUGGAUGCCCUGCUUGGCAUAGUUCAUAGCUUCUCUGAGUUUUUCAAGCCCCUUCGCCACGGCAUGGCAGUGAUCCAUGAAGGGGAAGCAGUGAUCCAUGAAGGGUCCAUGAAGCUGAGGCUCCAAUACUUUGGCCACCUCAUGAGAAGAGAAGACUCCCUGGAAAAGACCCUGAUGUUGGGAAAGAUGGAGGGCACAAGGAGAAGGGGAUGACAGAGGACGAGAUGGUUGGACAGUGUUCUCGAGGCUACCAGCAUGAGUUUGACCAAACUGCAGGAGGCAGUGGAAGACAGGAGUGCCUGGUGUGCUCUGGUCCAUGGGGUCACGAAGAGUCGGACACGACUAAACAACAACAAGACAGAUAUAUCAGGUCAUGAACUAAGAUUGACGCAACUGGAAACUGUGAGAGUUUCUGACCUGGAGAGAACACAGCAAGAAGCCUCAAAUUCAAUUGCAUUUCUACAGUUGAAAGAGAGGGAAAGCCAUUUGAGACUGAGAAGGGUACCACAGAAAGAGCAGGACAAUUUGAAGGACUGGCUAAUUGAUGAAUUUUCAGCUUGUGGGGAUCUUCCAGGCAGCCCUGUUCAGGGAAGCUUUUAAUCUGUGAUAUUUUACUGUAUUUUUUUGUUUCUAUGGAAGCCGCCCAGAGUGGCUGGGGAAACCCAGCCAGAUGGGCGGGGUACAAAUAAUAAAUUAUUAUUAUUAUUAUUAUUCCAAAAGAAGAAGGAAACUCCUGGAUUGAUAAGGCCUAUAGAUUUGGAGCAAAAAAGGACUGUAAGAUUACACAUGACUGUAUGGUAAUUUUUAAGACCAAAGAGCAAAGAGAUAUUAUUUUAGGCCACCACUACAAAAAAAGUUUAAAGAUUGAGGACAAAUUGAUUAUUUUGUUUAAAGAGAUCCUGAACAUUUUUUGGCCCUGAGAAAUAACUACACAGAAUUGGCCAGUGCUCUAAGAAGGAAAAACAUCUUUUUUAGGUGGGAGUUCCUGGAAGGUCUCUCUUUCAAAUUUCAAGGGAGAAAGCAAAGAAUUAGGACUGUUGGGGAGAAAGAGAGAUUCUUGGAGAAAAACGCAAAUGAAUGAUGAGUUGUUGAGGAAUGAACAGAUUAUUACUAAGGCCCAAACGACUCUAAAAGAUUACUUUGAAAUAAAUAUGAACACAGAGGUGGAAACAAGAGUCAUUUGGGACGCAGGUAAGGCUGUAAUGAGAGGUUUCCUCAUACAACAAAAUUCAAUAAAGAAAAAGAUACAGAAUGAGAAAAAAGAAAACAUUCUGUCUGAAAUAAAAGAUAAAGAGAAGAGUUUAAGAUCAAUGCCUAAGAGUCAACUGAUUCAAAAAGAAAUUAAAGCUUUACAGAUCCAAUUUUCUCAAAUUAUUAAUAAAGAAAUAGAAUGGAAAAUAAAAAUGAUGAAACAGAGAAAUUUUGAAUCUGCAAAUAAAUGUGGGAAAUUGUUGGCUUGGCAAUUAAAAAAGACAAAUAUUGUAUCUGAAGGAAAAUCUGUGGGAAACCAUGCAGAUAUAAGAAAAUGUUUUCAGAAAUAUUUUAAACAGCUGUAUAAAAAAGGUAAAGAAGAUAAAGAUAAAAUUGAGCAAUUUCUUAAAGUAAAUGAAAUGCAAAAAAAUCCCAAGUAUAAAAGGUUCCUACUUAAUGGUAUGAUUACAAGACAGGAGGUUGAGAUAGCAAUAAAUCAGAUGCAGCUAGGCAAAGCCCCAGGACCAGAUGGUCUUUCUGCAAAAUAUUAUAAAACUUUGAAAGAUUGGUUAAUCCAGCUGUUAGCAGAUGUGUGCAAUAAGAUUCUAAGAGGGGACAAAGCACCUGAAACUUGGAAAGAUGCGUUUAUAACUCUGAUUCCAAAAUCAGAACAAGAUAGAUCUGAUGUGAAAAACUACAGACCGAUUUCAUUACUCAAUGUGGAUUAUAAAAUUUUUGCAAAUAUAUUGGCCAACAGAUUGAAAAAGGUUUUAACAGAUUAUAUUCAUAAGGACCAGGCAGGCUUUCUGCCUGGGAGACAAAUGAAAGAUAAUAUUAGGAAUAUAAUUGAUGUAUUAGAAAGGUUGGAAGUCAAAAGAAAUUGCAAAGCAAUGUUAAUGUUCAUAGAUGCUGAGAAGGCCUUUGACAAUGUUUCUUGUUUUUUUAUGAGUUUUUAUGAGGUUUUUUUUUAGAAAGAAUAGAGUUUGGAAGCCUUACCAAUUACCAAAACCAUUUGAACAAAUUAAAGAUAAAGUGAAUUGGCUACAAUAUUAUCAAAUUAAUGAAUUAUAUAAGAUUGAUAGGAGAAAUGGAGGAAAAACCAAAUUGGAAACGGAGUUGUUAGACACCAAAGUUAAGAAUACCGUAUUUCUCACCCUAUAGGGUGCACCGGCCCAUAGGGCGCACCUAGGUUUUUUUGGGGGGGAAGCCCGAGCUUCCCCCAACCCCAACCCCCAGAACAGGCUGCUAUUCGCAAGCCUUGGGAGCCUGGUGGGAACUCCUGCCGAUCUCCCCAGGCUUGCGGAUAUCUGCCUGAAGCCCGGGGCGCGCUGCUGACUGAUUUGGAAACACUACACUAUGAAAAUUCAAAUUUGAUUGCAUUUCUUCAGAUGAGGGAACGGGAAUCUCAUUUAAGAUUGAGAGGUGUGCCACAACAGGAAGAGGAUUGACUCAGGGAGUGGAUGAUAGAUCAAUUUGUGGCGUGGUGGGAUUUGAAAAAAGACAAAGUUGAUUCUUGGAUAGAAAAGGCCUAUAGAUUCGGUCCCAAAAAAGAUUCAAAAAUUACCUAUGACUGUAUAGUGGUCUUUAAGACCAAACCGAUACCACUUUGGGACUGCACUAAAAAAAAAGGUUUUAAAAAUCCAGGAUAAAGCCAUCGUCCUUUUUAAAGAGAUUCCUAAACACUUUUUGAGCCUGAGAUCCAAUUACACAGAAUUGACAAGAAUUCUGAGGGAAAAUGUUUUUUUCAGGUGGGAAUUCCCGGAGGGUCUUUCCUUCAAAUUCGGAGGAAGAAAGCAAAGAAUUAAGAUGGUUGGAGAGAAAGACAGAUUUCUGCAAAAGAACUCGGACUGGACUGAACUUGGACUGGAAAGCCCACAGUUGCCAGGGGCGGGAGCAGCGACCCCUUAAUUUACCAUCAUGGCUUUGAGAAUUUAUUCUUGGAAUGUAAAUGUCUUUAAUUCCCCUCAGAAAAGUAUGCAGGUUUAUCAUGCUUUGGCAAAGCAGAAUUUGGACGUAAUUUGUUUACAGGAAACACACAUUACAAGAUUCCAUAGAAAAAUCUUAUUGAAUAAGAAGCUUGGCCAAGAAUUUAUUUCUUCGGACAAAGUGAAAAAAAGAGGAAUGGUUUUCUAUGUUAAGGAAAAAUGGAAUCCAAAAUUGAUUUUUAAAGAUGAGGAGGGAAGAUACAUUGCAGUGGAAAUCACAGCACAAGGCGAAAAAUACUUGUUAUUGGGAAUCUAUGCACCAAAUGAUGGCAAAGCUGAAUUCGUUAAGAACUUGGAAACGAGUCUUUUGGAACAUUUGGAUUAUAAAUUAAUUUUAAUGGGAGAUCUGAAUGGAGUGGCAUCUACUUUAAUGGAUAGAACUCAGAGACAGAAAAUAUUGAAUGCUGGCAGACUACCUAAGACUUUUUUUGAAAUAACUGACAAAUUUGAUCUGUCAGACAUAUGGAGAGGCAGAAAUCCAACUGAAAAAGACUUCACAUUUUAUUCAGAUGCAAAUCAAUAAUUCUCGAGAACUAUUUAUGGAUAUCCAGAGACUUGGUUCCUAAAGUCUCAAAAAGGGAAAUUUGCCCUAAAACUUGCUGAGACCAUAAUGCAGUUUUUAUGGAAGUUAAAAUGUCCUUACAGGGAUCUUUCAAGUGGAGAAUGAAUGAUGAUUUGUUGAGGAGCGAGCAAAUUGUAAAUAAGGCCCAAAAAGCCCUAAAGGACUAUUUUGAGAUUAAUAUGAACCAGGGAGUGGAAACAAGGGUUAUUUGGGACGCCAGCAAAGCAGUAAUGAGAGGAUUCCUCAUUCAACAAACUUCAAUUAGGAGAAAGAUACAGAAUGGGGGAAAAAAAUCUUGGAGCAACUAAAAGAUAAAGAAAAGAUUCUUAGAAGCAAUCCAAAGAAUUUGCAGAUACAAAAGGAAAUUAAAGUUUUACAGACCAUUAUUCACAUAUUAUCAAUCAAGAAAUAGAAUGGAAAUUAAGGAUGAUGAGACAAAGGAACUUUGAAUCUGCAAAUAAAUGUGGGAAACUUUUAGCUUGACAACUAAAAAAGAGGCAAAAACAAAGUACUAUUACAAAUAUUGUAUCGGAAGGAAAUUCUGUAGAGAACCCUGUGGACAUAAGAAGAUGCUUUCAGAAAUAUUAUAAACAACUGGUCCAAACUGGUUUAAACAGGUCUAGGCUGGUUUGAUCCAGCCCAAGCCAGUUUGAACAAUUCCAGAUAGCCUCGAGCAGGUCCAGGCCAGUUAGAGCAGUUGUAGGUCAUUUGAAACUGGCUCAAGCUGGUUAGAACGGGUCCAGGCGGGUUGGAACAGGUCUAUGUCGCUUGGAACCAGCCCAGACUGGUUAGAACCAGUUGAUACCAGUUGGAUCCAGUCCAAGCUGGUUCAAACCAGCCCAAACCAGUUGGGAAAGGUUCUGGUGGGUUGCAACUUGCCCAGACAAGUUUGAACUGGCCAAGACUGGUUGGAACUAGCUCAGACUGGUUGCAACAGGUCUAGGCUGGUUUGAACCGGUCAAAGCCGAUUUGUGCUGGUCCAAGUCUGGUUUCAACUGGUCUAGGCCUGUUUGAACUGGUCUAGGCUGGUUUGAACCAGCCCAAGCCAGUUUGAACAGUUCCAAGUGGGUUGGAACUUGCCCAGACAGGUUGGAGCAGGUCCAGGCCAGUUGGAGCAGGUGUAGGUCAUUUGAAACUGGCCCAAACUGGUUGGAACAGGUCUAGACCGGUUUGAACCGGUCCAAGCUGGUUUGAAAUGGUGUAGGCCGGUUUGUGCUGGUCCAAGCCAGUUUCUGCUGGUCCAAGCCAGUUUGAACUGGCCAAAGCCAAUUUGAACAUGUCCAAGUGGAUGGGGACUGGCCCAGACAGGUUGGAGCAGGUCCAGGCCAAUUGGAACAGCUGCAGGUGGUUUGAAACUGGCCCAAGCUGGUUAGAAAAGAUCCAGGCCGGUUGGAACAGGUCUAUGUCACUUUGAAACAGCCCAGACCAGUUGAAAAAAGUUCAUACCAGUUGGAUCCGGUCCAAGCUAGUUGGAACCAGCACAAACCAGUUGGGCGGGUUCCAACUUGCCCAGACCAGCUUGAACUGGUCCAGACUGGUAGGAACAGGUCUAUGUUGGUUUGAACCGCUCCAAGCCGGUUUGAAGCUGUUCAGACUGGUUUGAACCAGUCCAAGCUGGUUUGAACCGGUCGAGGCCGGUUUGAACCAGUCUUGGCCAGUUUCAACCGGUCUAGGCCACUUUGAACUGAAACGGUCCAAGUCGCUUGAAACAGGUCCAAGUCAGUUGGAACAGUCUAGGCCGGUUUGAACCGGUCUAGGCCAGUUUGUGCCAUUUCAAGCCAGUGUGAACCGGUCUUGGCCGGGUUGAACAUGUCUAGGUCAGGUUGAACCAGCCCAAGCCAGUUUGAACAGUUCCAAGUGGGUUGGAACUGGCUCAAACAGGUUGGAGCAGGUCCAGGCCAGUUGGAGCAGGUGCAGGUCAUUUAAAACUGGCCCAAGCUAGUUGGAACAGGUCCAGGCUGGUUGGAACAAGUUCAUACCAGUUGGAUCCGGUCCAAGCCGAUUGGAACCAGCACAAACCAGUUGGAAAAGGUCCCGGGGGGUUCCAACUUGUCCAGACCAGUUUAAACUGUUCCAGACUGGUUGGAACAGGUCUAGGUUGGUUUGAACCGCUCCAAGCCGGUUGGAAGCUGUUCAGACCGGUUUGAACCAGUCCAAGCUGGUUCGAACCCAAUGAGGCUGGUUUGAACUGCCCCAAGCCAGUUUGAACAGUUCCAAGUGGGUUGGAACUGGCCCAGACAGGUUGGAGCAGGUCCAGGCCAGUUGGAGCAGGUGCAGGUCAUUUGAAACUGGCCCAAGCUGGUUGGAACAGGUCCAAGCCAGUUUGAACAAGUCUAGGCCGGGUUGAGCCGGUCUAAGCUGGUUUGAACCGGUAUAGGCUUGUUUGAACUGGUCUAGGCCAGUUUGUGCUGGUCCAAGCCAGUUUGAACCGGCCCAAGCUAGUUUGAACAGGUCCAAGUGGACUGGAACCGGCCCAGACAGGUUGGAGCAGGUCCCGGCCAGUUGGAGCAGGUGCAGGUGGUUUGAAACUGGCCCAAGCUGGUUAGAACAGGUCCAGGCCGGACGGAACAGGUCUAUGUCACUUGGAACCAGCCCAGACCGGUUAGAACCAGUUCAUACUAGUUGGAUCCAGUCCAAGCUGGUUCAAACCAGCCCAAACCAGUUGGAAAAGGUUCUGGUGGGUUGCAACUUGCCCAGACAAGUUUGAACUGGCCAAGACUGGUUGGAACUAGCUCAGACUGGUUGCAACCGGUCUAGGCUGGUGUGAACCAGUCAAAUCCGAUUUGUGCCGGUCCAAGCUGGUUUCAACUGGUCUAGGCCUGUUUGAACCGGUCUAGGCCGGUUUGAGCAGUUCCAAGCUGGUUUGAACAAGUCUAGGCCAGUUUGAGAAGGUCCAAGAGGGAUUGAACCAGCUCAAAUCAGAUGGGAAAAGUCCAGGCGGGUUCUAACUUGCCCAGACCAGUUUGAAAUGGCCCAGACUGGUUGGAACUUGCUCAGACAGGUUUGUACCGGUCUAGGCCGGUUUGAAAAGUUCCAAGUGGGUUGGAACUGGCCCAGACAGGUUGGAGCAGGUCCAGGCCAGUUGGAGCUGGUGCCGGUCAUUUGAAACUGGUCCAAGCUGGUUAGAACAGGUCCAGGCCAGUUAGAACAAGUUCAUACCAGUUGGGUCCAGUCCAAGUCGGUUGGAACCAGCCCAAACCAGUUGGAAAAGGUUCUGGCAGGUUCCAACUUGCCCAGACCAUUUUGAACUGGACUGCCCAGACUGGUUUGAACUAACUCAGACUGCUUGGAACAGGUCUAGGCUGGUUUGUGGCGGUCCAAGCCAGUUUGAACCGGCCCAAGCCAGUUUGAACAGUUUGAGGCCGCUUAGAACAGUUCUGUGUCACUUGGAAGCAGCCCUGACCUGUAGGAACCAGCCCAAACCAGUUAGAAAAGGUCCAGGGGGGUUCUAACUUGCCCAGACUAGUUUGAACUAGCCCAAAGUGGUUGGAACUAGCUUACACAGGAACAGGUCUAGACUGUUUUGAACCAGUCCAAGCAGGUUGGAACAGGUCUAAGCCAGUUGGAUCCUUUUCAGACCGGGUGGAACCAGUCCAAGUCGGUUUGAACAGAUCUAGGCCUGUUUGAAACGGAUAAGGCCGGUUUGUACCGGUCCAAGCCGGUUUGAACAGGACUAGGCCAGUUUGUGCCGGUCCAAAGUUUGAACUGGCCCAGACUGGUUGGAACUAGCUCAAACUGCUUGGAACAGGUCCAGGUCGGUUGGAACAGGAGUAUGUCUCUUGGAACCAGCCCAGACCUGUUGGAAACAGUUGAUAACGGUUAGAUCCGAUCCAAGCUGGUUGGAACCAGACCAAACGAACUGAAAAAGUCCAGGCGGGUUCCAACUUGCCCAGACCGGUAUGAACUGGCCCAGAUUGGUUGGAACAGGGCCAAGCCGGUUGGAACAGGUUUAUGUCACUUGGAACCAGCCCAGACCUGUGGGAACCAGGUUCUACCAGUUGGAUCCGCUACAAGCCGGUAGGAACCAGCCCAAACCAGUUUGAAAAAGUCAAGACAGAGUCCAACUUCCCCAGACCGGUUUGAAGUGGUUGGAACAGGUCUAGGCUGGUUUGAACCAGUCGAAGCUGAGUGCAACAGGUCCAAGCCGAUUAGAACCGGUCCAAGCCAGUUUGAACCAGCUCAAACUAUUUGCAAAAGGUUCAGGAGGGUUGGAACUGGCCCAGACUGGUUGUAACCGGUCUGGGCCCAUUUGAAUCGGUCCAAGCCAGUUUGAACUGAUCAAGUUCUCCGAUAAAGAAAACAAUGCCCGACCUGAAGAAUUUGGAGCAAAUGAUUCAGCAGAGGAAACACAGCCCAGAAUAACUAAGGAGAUAGUACAAGAAUACUUGGCUAGUUUAGAUGUAUUCAAGUCUCCAGGGCCAGAUGAACUGCAUCCAAGAGUAUUAAAAGAACUGGCAGAUGUGAUCUCAGAACCACUGGCAGUCAUCUUUGAGAAUUCCUGGAGAACAGGCGAAGUCCCGGCAGACUGGAGGAGGGCAAAUGUUGUCCCUAUUUUCAAAAAGGGGAAAAGAGAGGACCCAAAUAAUUACCGCCCAGUCAGUCUGACAUCAAUACCAGGGAAGAUUCUGGAGCAGAUCAUUAAGCAAACAGUCUGUGAGCACCUAGAAAGGAAUGCUGUGAUCACCAAUAGUCAGCAUGGAUUUCUGAAAAAUAAGUCAUGUCAGACUAACCUGAUCUCGUUUUUGACAGAAUUACAAGCCUGGUAGAUGAAGGGAACGCAGUGGAUGUAGCCUACCUUGAUUUCAGCAAGGCAUUUGACAAGGUGCCCCAUGAUAUUCUUGUAAAGAAGCUGGUAAAAUGCGGUCUUGACUAUGCUACCACUCAGUGGAUUUGUAACUGGCUGACUGACCGAACCCAAAGGGUGCUCAUCAAUGGUUCCUCUUCAUCCUGGAGAAGAGUGACUAGUGGGGUGCCACAGGGUUCUGUCUUGUGCCCGGUCUUAUUCAACAUCUUUAUCAACGACUUGGAUGAUGGACUCAAGGGCAUCCUGAUCAAAUUUGCAGAUGACACCAAACUGGGAGGGGUGGCUAACACCCCAGAGGACAGGAUCACACUUCAAAACGACCUUGACAGAUUAGAGAACUGGGCCAAAACAAACAAGAUGAAUUUUAACAGGGAGAAAUGUAAAGUAUUGCACUUGGGCAAAAAAAAUGAGAGGCACAAAUACAAGAUGGGGGACACCUUGCUUGAGAGCAGUACAUGUGAAGAGGAUCUAGGAGUCUUGGUUGACCACAAACUUGACAUGAGCCAACAGUGUGACGCGGCAGCUAAAAAAGCCAAUGCAAUUCUGGGCUGCAUCAAUAGGAGUAUAGCAUCUAGAUCAAGGGAAGUAAUAGUGCCACUGUAUUCUGCUCUGGUCAGACCUCACCUGGAGUACUGUGUCCAGUUCUGGGCACCACAGUUCAAGAAGGACACUGACAAACUGGAACGUGUCCAGAGGAGGGCAACCAAAAUGGGCAAAGGCCUGGAAACGAUGCCUUAUGAGGAACGGCUAAGGGAGCUGGGCAUGUUUAGCCUGGAGAAGAGGAGGUUAAGGGGUGAUAUGAUAGCCAUGUUCAAAUAUAUAAAAGGAUGUCACAUAGAGGAGGGAGAAAGGUUGUUUUCUGCUGCUCCAGAGAAGCGGACACGGAGCAAUGGAUCCAAACUACAAGAAAGAAGAUUCCACCUAAACAUUAGGAAGCACUUCCUGACAGUAAGAGCUGUUCGACAGUGGAAUUUGCUGCCAAGGAGUGUGGUGGAGUCUCCUUCUUUGGAGGUCUUUAAGCAGAGGCUUGACAACCAUAUGUCAGGAGUGCUCUGAUGGUGUUUCCUGCUUGGCAGGGGGUUGGACUCGAUGGCCCUUGUGGUCUCUUCCAACUCUAUGAUUCUAAGACCAGUUUGAACUGGUCUUGGCCAGUUUCAACCGGUCUAGGCUGGUUUGAAAUGGCCCAAGUCAGUUUGAGCAGUUCCAAGUGGGUUGGAAGAGGCCCAUACAGGUUGGAGCAGGUCCAGGCCAGUUGGAGCAGGUGCAGGUCAAAUGAAACUGGCCCAAGCUGGUUAGAACAGGUCCAGGCCGGUUUGAACAGGACUAUGUCACCUGGAACCAGCCCAGCCCAGUCGGAACCAGUUCAUACAAGUUGGGUCCCGUCCAAGCCGGUUGGAACCAGCCCAAACCAGUUGGAAAAGGUUCAAGCGGGUUGCAACUUGCCCAGAGCAGUUUGAACUGGCCCAGACUGGUUGGAACUGGCCCAGACUGGUUUCAACAGGUCUAGGCUGGUUUGAACCGGUCAAAGCCCAUUUGUGCCGAUCCAAGCUGGUUUCAACUGGUCUAGGCCGGUUUUUGAAGCGAUCUAGGCCGGUUUGUGUCGGUCCAAGCCAGUUGGAACCUGUUGAUACCAGUUUGAACCGGUGGAGGCCGGUUGGUGCCGGUCCAAGCCGGUUUGAAUCUGCAAGGGGGUACCGAGUACAGACCCAUCCAUCGGGGUUUGGCUCUGCUGGUGGCACCUCCCCCAUUAGGUUUCGCUCUGCAGUGGCAUCUAUUCUCCUUCUUUCCUCAGCAGUGAAGAGGGUCAUUAAAAGAUGCCUGUAAUCUUGCCACGUGGGCAGAUGGGUUACUAUGAUUGAGGCCAUUAGGUCCUGCAUAGCUUAAGGCUUUUCAGAAAAAGGCAGGGUAUGGGUUUUCCAGCUUAGCAGGUCAGUAGUAGUGAAUGGCACAUAUUGCAUGGUAACAGAAUGUGUGGGCCAUGCACCGGUGGGUCGGCCCUGAUCAUCUGUGGGCCCGGGCUCUUGGGGUCCCAAAACCGCUCUCAAAAGGAACAUCAGGGCUUGGCCCCCCUUCUUGUUACGAAGGUAAUGUCCUCCUUUAGAUGGAGGUGGCAUGGGGGGCCCCUGUUGCAUCACUUUCCUUCAUCUUUAUUACUAACUUCUUUCCAGUAUCACUUCUUGCAUCCACAACUGCCCACAGGCCUGACUUUCUCUCAGUGGCUGGAGUGCCUACGGGGUUGCUGAUGUCACCCCGGGUUGGAGUUGUGGCCACUUCUCCAGGUUUGGCUCCUCCCACAGCUCCCAGGGCCUCCAAUGCUGAAGUGCCUAUAAUCUCUUUUUCCUGGGGGGCUUGGACUUGGGCAAUUUGGGCUUGAUUUCGUACCAGCACUGGGGCUGGCAAGGAGGGCACAUCCGGGAUGCUAGAUGGAACUUGUAAUAAUUGGACUGCAGUGGGUGGCUGGACUGGAGGUGAUGGCACAAUCCUGGCCGAAGGGGCAUAUGGAGGCGGAAGGAGAAAACCCUCCUCUUCUGGGUGGUCCUGGUAUAUCUUCUUAGCAGGGGCUGGAGGCUUGGGUUUAUCUAUGUUUUUCCGGGCCUCCUGCUUCACUGCUAAAAUCUGGCAGGUGUCGCCCUUGCACUUCUUCAUCCAUGGAGGAUUUUCCAUGCAAGCAUUAUACCACUGAUCAAUAUAGGGAAAUUGAUCUGGGUGGCCUCCUGGGUCCCUAGUUACUGAGACUCAAACUAGGAGGCUCAAUUCCACAUCAAAACUACCUUCCGAAGGCCAUUUUGGAAAGCCACUUCCGACCUCGGCUGGCUCCUAGCCCCACGCGAUCUGGGGAAUCCUCGGCCGUGUCAUCCCUGGGCCAGCUUUCCUAUCCAAGGGAAAGUUCGGUUAGCGAUGCAAUACCACAGGGAAAUACCACAAGGGAAAGUUCGGUUAGCGAUGCAAUCCAUUGAUCAAGCGGUAAAGCUUAUUCAGAGAUUCAGCAGGGGAGCCCUGUUAGCUAAGUGUGACAUCGAGUCUGCCUUUCGUCUUCUUCCAGUUCACCCGGAUGACUUCCGUUGGCUGGGUUUUAAAUUUGAAGGGGCGUAUUUUAUAGAUAAAGCCAUGCCCAUGGGAUGCUCAGUAGCAUGUGCAGUCUUUGAGACCUUUAGCACAUUUCUGGACUGGGCUCUUCGCUUUAAAACUGGUUCCAAAGGGGUCUCCCAGCACUGAUGGUAGAAGACCCAUAACCUUUGAAAUCCUAUGUCAAAUCCAUAAAAAACUAAGGGCCAUUUGUUGGUCAAAGUAUGAAGCACGCCUAUUUUCAGCAGCUUACUCCAUCGCCUUUUUUGGCGCUUUGCACAUAGGCGAGGUGGUUUGCGACGGCCAGCCAGAUUCUGUUGCACGUGGGAUCCUCUUAAAGGAUGUGACAUUAUCUCACUCAGAUCUAGUUCUCCAUAUCCGGAACUCAAAAACUGAUCAGCUAGGCAAAAGGGCCCUAAUUCGGCUUAUAGCAACUCAAAAGAAAGGGCCAUGUCCAGUAAAGGAUGCAAGACGAUUUAUAUAUUUGAGACCAAAUACCCCUAGACCAUAUUUCAUAUAUGCAGAUGGCUCCUGCCUUACAAGACAUCAGUUUACACGCGUUAUGUGUAAGGCAAUUGCUGCUUGCGGUUUUCCCCCAGCUGAAUUUGUGGCCCACUCAUUUCGGAUCGGAGCAGCCACUACAGCAGUACACUUAGGCCUUCUGGCUGAAAGGAUAAAGGAUCUGGGUCAAUGGAAGUUAGGUGCUUUUAAAGGGUGCAUUUGGAGGCCUUUAUGACUGUUUUCAUCACCCCUGACCCCUCCUUGUUAUGCUCUUUUCCUUUUAGGUGACGUAGUUGUGCGCAUUUGGAUCAUAGGCCAUAGUAACGUCCACUGGGCCAGAAACCGUGCUGUCAGUCGGGGCCAGGGGUGCGGGUUAGAUCUGCCAAAAAAUGUUGAAAUCUCCUGGAUCACUCGCCGUGGAAUGCGUUGGGCGGAAUUUCUGCCAGCAAUAAAAGCUACAGCUGCCGUGAAAGGCCCACCGGAUGCCCUUGUCAUUCAGCUG
Podarcis lilfordi (Lilford's wall lizard) is the source of this 20822-nucleotide non-coding RNA. The record is from the annotation of a GenBank genome assembly. NCBI's taxonomy places the organism in Eukaryota, Metazoa, Chordata, Lepidosauria, Squamata, Lacertidae.